ACGGAGGGUGCAAGCGUUGUUCGGAAUCACUGGGCGUAAAGGGCGCGUAGGCGGUUUGACAAGUCAGAUGUGAAAGCCCAGGGCUCAACCGUGGAAGUGCAUUUGAAACUGCAAGACUUGAGUAUCAGAGGGGAGGAUGGAAUUCCCGGUGUAGAGGUGAAAUGCGUAGAUAUCGGGAGGAAUACCGGUGGCGAAGGCGACUUUCUGGCUGAGUACUGACGCUGAGGCACGAAAGCGUGGGGAGCAAACAG
Molecule: ribosomal RNA, 251 nt
Filed under: uncultured prokaryote
Description: partial 16S rRNA
Rfam family: Bacterial small subunit ribosomal RNA
Source: RNAcentral